RNAcentral lists this ribosomal RNA (237 nucleotides) under uncultured bacterium. Its description in RNAcentral is "partial 16S ribosomal RNA". It matches the Rfam family "Bacterial small subunit ribosomal RNA", at positions 15 to 236 of the family's 1533-position model. The record is from RNAcentral.
GAUCCUGGCUCAGGAUGAACGCUGGCGGCGUGCCUAACACAUGCAAGUCGAACGAAGCACCUUACCGGAUUCUUCGGAUGAAGGUCUGGUGACUGAGUGGCGGACGGGUGAGUAACGCGUGGGUAACCUGCCCUGUACAGGGGGAUAACAGCUGGAAACGGCUGCUAAUACCGCAUAAGCGCACGAGGAGACAUCUCCUAGUGUGAAAAACUCCGGUGGUACAGGAUGGGCCCGCGU